UAACGCGUGAGGAACCUGCCUCAAAGAGGGGGACAACAGUUGGAAACGACUGCUAAUACCGCAUAAGCCCACAGCUCGGCAUCGAGCAGAGGGAAAAGGAGUGAUCCGCUUUGAGAUGGCCUCGCGUCCGAUUAGCUAGUUGGUGAGGUAAUGGCCCACCAAGGCGACGAUCGGUAGCCGUACUGAGAGGUUGAACGGCCACAUUGGGACUGAGACACGGCCCAG
This 225-nucleotide ribosomal RNA is filed under the name uncultured bacterium. Its description in RNAcentral is "partial 16S ribosomal RNA". It matches the Rfam family "Bacterial small subunit ribosomal RNA", at positions 111 to 334 of the family's 1533-position model. The record is from RNAcentral.